ACUUAUAUAGUUUAACAAAACAUUACAUUUUCAAUGUAAAAAUAAAAUUUUUAUAAGUU
RNAcentral lists this transfer RNA (59 nucleotides) under Trixa longipennis. Its description in RNAcentral is "tRNA-Glu". It matches the Rfam family "tRNA". Rfam says of the family: Transfer RNA (tRNA) molecules are approximately 80 nucleotides in length. Their secondary structure includes four short double-helical elements and three loops (D, anti-codon, and T loops). Further hydrogen bonds mediate the characteristic L-shaped molecular structure. tRNAs have two regions of fundamental functional importance: the anti-codon, which is responsible for specific mRNA codon recognition, and the 3' end, to which the tRNAs corresponding amino acid is attached (by aminoacyl-tRNA synthetases). tRNAs cope with the degeneracy of the genetic code in two manners: having more than one tRNA (with a specific anti-codon) for a particular amino acid; and 'wobble' base-pairing, i.e. permitting non-standard base-pairing at the 3rd anti-codon position. The record is from RNAcentral. Lineage: Eukaryota; Metazoa; Arthropoda; Insecta; Diptera; Tachinidae.